GAUGAACGCUGGCGGCGUGCUUAACACAUGCCAGUCGAACGGAAAGGCUCCUGCUUGCAGGGGUACUCGAGUGGCGAACGGGUGAGUAACACGUGGGUGAUCUGCCCUGCACUUCGGGAUAAGCCUGGGAAACUAGGUCUAAUACCGGAUAGGACGAUGGUUUGGAUGCCAUUGUGGAAAGUUUUUCGGUGUGGGAUGAGCUCGCGGCCUAUCAGCUUGUUGGUGGGGUAAUGGCCUACCAAGGCGUCGACGGGUAGCCGGCCUGAGAGGGUGUACGGCCACAUUGGGACUGAGAUACGGCCCAGACUCCUACGGGAGGCAGCAGUGGGGAAUAUUGCACAAUGGGCGCAAGCCUGAUGCAGCGACGCCGCGUGGGGGAUGACGGCCUUCGGGUUGUAAACUCCUUUCGUCAGGGACGAAGCGAAAGUGACGGUACCUGGAUAAGAAGCACCGGCUAACUACGUG
RNAcentral lists this ribosomal RNA (465 nucleotides) under uncultured bacterium. Its description in RNAcentral is "partial 16S ribosomal RNA". It matches the Rfam family "Bacterial small subunit ribosomal RNA", at positions 28 to 507 of the family's 1533-position model. The record is from RNAcentral.